This 117-nucleotide ribosomal RNA is filed under the name Chloroflexota bacterium. The record is from RNAcentral. Lineage: Bacteria; Bacillati; Chloroflexota.
UCUGGUGAUUUGAGCGCGGCGGACCCACCCGUUCCCUUCCCGAACACGGUCGUGAAACGCCGCAGCGGCGACGAUACUGGAGGCGCAAGCCUUUGGGAAAAUAGCUCAUUGCCAGAA